CCCUUAGAUGUCCUGGGCCGCACGCGCGCUACACUGAUGCAUGCAACGAGUUUAUAACCUUGGCCUGAAAGGUCUGGGUAAUCUUUUGAACGUGCAUCGUGAUAGGGAUAGAUUAUUGCAAUUGUUAAUCUUGAACGAGGAAUUCCUAGUAAACGCGAGUCAUCAGCUCGCAUUGAUUACGUCCCUGCCCUUUGUACACACCGCCCGUCGCACCUACCGAUUGAAUGGUUCGGUGAAGAUCUCGGACUUCGAUAUUUAUUCUUUAUUGAGUUUAUAUUGUGGGAAGUUAUCUAAACCUCAUCACUUAGAGGAAGGUGAAGUCGUAACA
Molecule: ribosomal RNA, 328 nt
Filed under: uncultured eukaryote
Lineage: Eukaryota
Description: partial 18S ribosomal RNA
Rfam family: Eukaryotic small subunit ribosomal RNA
Source: RNAcentral